This 372-nucleotide ribosomal RNA is filed under the name uncultured organism. RNAcentral's name for it is "bacterial SSU rRNA". It matches the Rfam family "Bacterial small subunit ribosomal RNA", at positions 526 to 896 of the family's 1533-position model. The record is from RNAcentral.
CGAAGGGUGCAAGCGUUACUCGGAAUUACUGGGCGUAAAGCGUGCAUAGGUGGUUUGUUAAGUCUGAUGUGAAAGCCCUGGGCUCAACCUGGGAACUGCAUUGGAAACUGGCUUACUAGAGUGCGGUAGAGGGUAGUGGAAUUCCCGGUGUAGCAGUGAAAUGCGUAGAUAUCGGGAGGAACAUCUGUGGCGAAGGCGACUACCUGGACCAGCACUGACACUGAGGCACGAAAGCGUGGGGAGCAAACAGGAUUAGAUACCCUGGUAGUCCACGCCCUAAACGAUGCGAACUGGAUGUUGGGAGCAACUUGGCUCUCAGUAUCGAAGCUAACGCGUUAAGUUCGCCGCCUGGGAAGUACGGUCGCAAGACUG